This is a long non-coding RNA of Malaya genurostris, 5078 nucleotides long. RefSeq lists it as uncharacterized. The transcript has 3 exons. The record is from RefSeq and is a predicted model, not a curated record. NCBI's taxonomy places the organism in Eukaryota, Metazoa, Arthropoda, Insecta, Diptera, Culicidae.
UUUUUCUCUCUCGCUUUUUAUGGCGCAGACCAUUUGGUCCAUAUCAGCCAAGUCUUGCUUAUACGUUAAUUGACGUUUGAUUAUUUGUCAAAUGAAAAUGAAUUCGUUCACGCUCUUUGCUUGAAACGUCAAUUUUGUCGUGUGAGGUAUUAUGUUGAUGAAAUAAUCUGAUCUAGAUGAGUGUAAUAUUGUCAAAUGUUGACUUUAGUUUCUUUUAUGAAAUCUACUAUUUGUUUUAUCUCGUUAAUUGUGUUUUUAGUAAGGAUGACUCUUAUAUCAAUUUUGUUUUGAAUCAGCGGGUAUUUUUUUCUAAUUUUAUCAUAUUUGUGACAAUGAUAUAAUAUAUGCGUUAUAUUUUCAGUAAUGUUGCAUGAGUCGCAUUUGUCGUUUGGUAUUAAACCCCAUUUGUAUAGUUUAUCUUUAGUUGCUGUAUGGCCUGAUCGGAGUCUGGUGACAGUGAUUAUAUCGUUAGAUGGCAAGUCUAUUUUAUAAAACCACGGUUUGAGCUUUAGUUCUUGUAAUAUUUCAUAGUGUAUUGCUGUUAUUUCUGCGUUCAUAAUGGUGAAUUGUGAUUUGAGUCGACCGCUGUAAGAUGUUUUUUCUGGAGAGAUGUAUAAACCAUAUCCGGCUUUACCAUCAAUCUUGGAGCCAUCUGUGAAAAUUUUAUAUUUGUCUGUGUAUUUACUGUUAAUUAGGUUAAUCACCAUUUGUUUUUGAACACUAAUAGGCGUGUUUGUUUUGGAGAGACCUUCGAUUUCUGAUACUACCUUUAUUUUGUUGGGUUUGUCAAUUUUUACUCUUUUUCCUAAUUGUAACAAAUGAUAGUUAUUUAUACUUGCUAUUUUCUCUAAAAAUGAACUCUUUUUGUUAAUUGUUUCUGAUUGUAUGGCUCUUGAUAGAAAGGGUAUUAAUGGGCUAUUUUGAUAGUGUAAUAAUUUAGUUAUUUCUUUAAAUGCGAGGUAUUCUGCUCCUUCCUUUAAUGGUAAUUCUCCUGCUUCCGCUAGUACAACGUGAUUUGGUGUGGAUCUUAAUAAGCGUAGAGAUGUUCUGAUAAAAGAAUGUUGUGUUGUUUCUAGUUUGGCAAAUGUUGUUUUUGCUGCUGCAGCUACUAUUGUUAUUCCGUAGUCUAAGUGGGGCUGUACUAUCGCUUUGGAAAUUUUUAGCAUAGUUUGUGGAUGUGCUCCAUUAGUUUUUCUACCGAUCAUUUUUAGGAUAUUGAUUUUUUUAUUGGCUUUGGCUGAUGCUAUUUCUAUUUGUUUUGUGUACUUUAAUCUGUAAUCUAUAUAUAAACCAAGAAAUUUAUGAAAAGCUUUAUUUUCUAUCGGAAUACCAUUUAGUGAAAUACUUGUGGUUGGGUGAAAUUUGUUUGUAAAAACCAUUGUGGCACAUUUAUCUGGAUUUAUUUCCAUGUUAAGUUUUUUGCAGAUCUCUGAUAUUUCAGAUAGGAAUAUAUUCGUUUCAACUGUUGCUGAUUGUAAGUUUUCUGCCUCAACCAAUGCCGUGAAGUCAUCAGCGAAUUGAAUUAAAACUUUUUUUCCAUUUGUUUUAGAAUGAAUUUGCAUUGUAUAAAUAUUGAAAAGAGUUGGGGAUAACGGACAGCCUUGGGGUAAACCUUUAUUUGUAGUUCGCCUGAUUAUCGUGCCAUCAUUCAUUGUAAGAAUUAUAGUGCGUUCUUUAAGAUAGUAAUAAAUCCAAUUUAUUAAAGCUGGUGGUACAUUUGUUUCUUCGAGUAUCCUCAUUAACGUGUCAAUGUUUACAUUAUCGAAGGCUUUGGAUAGAUCCAGAAAUGUGGCUAAUAUGACUUUUCCUUCUCUUUUAGAUUGGUGAAUGUGGGAGAUAAGUGUAUUAAUGCAAUUAAUAGCGGAUGUAUUUUUUCUAAAACCGUAGGAAUAUUUUGUUUUAGGAAAACUGCUAGCAUAGAUAUCGGACGGUAUGAGCUUGAGUAAUUUGGAUUUUUUGUUGGUUUUAGUAUCGGUACUAAUCUGAUGGCUCUCCAUUCAUCGGGAAUCUCUCCAUUAUUUGCAACUAACUCGAGAAUUUCUAAAAUUUUUAUUAACAUUUUGAAAUUUAUAUUUUUGAGAAUAUAGAAGGAUAUAUUAUCUUGACCUGGUGUAGAAGUAUCUUUUUUUGAUUUUAUGAGUUUCAGUAUAUGAUUAUGGUCGAAGUCAAUGGUUUCAGUUGUUCGUUUAGGGGUGUAGUUUAUUUUUUCAAGGGUGUUUGGAAAAUUAUUAUUGAUGAACUCGAGAGCUAUUUUACUAUCAUUUAAUAAGUGUAAAUUAUUUUUUGAAGGAAGCCCACCGCCUAGUUUUCUAACAGUAUUCCAUAGUUGAUGUUGGGACAUCUCUGGGCAUAUAGAAUUCACAAGUUUAUUCCAACUAUUCUUGGAUUCUUUACGGAUCAUUUGUUUUAAUUUUGCUUUAGACUUUUUGAACUGUAUGUAAUUCUCAUAAGUCUGAUUUCUGAAAUAUUGUGUAAGAUGUUUAUUUUUUUGUUUCCAUUGUUGAUUUAUUUCUUGGUUCCACCAUGGUUUUGGAAUGUUUUUUAAGUUGUUUUUGAUAUAUUUCGCUUGGUUGAUUUUGUCUUCAAUAAAAUAUGUUAAAUCGUAUUGAUUAUUUAUUGUUCGUGUUGAUAUUUUAUUUAUUCCUUCUAUUGCUUUUUCUUUGUUGAUAAAUUCUAUUUUACUCAAAUAUGUUUGUAUUGUGUUUCUUAUUUCAAAUUUUAUUAUUGUGUGGUUACUAAAAAUUUCUUCGUCUAUGGAUCUCCAAUCUAUUUUUGUGGAUAUAUUAGAUGAUGCUAAUGUUAGGUCUAUGGCUGAUGGUAAUGUAUCGGGGGGGUUUGAUUAAAGUUGGGGAACCGUCGUUUAGAAUAACUAAAUCUGUUUUCUCAAGUAAGUUUGCCAAUAGCUCUCCUCUAGGGCAGUUAGGGUGUUUUGUAUUCCAUAUGCGGUUAUGCGCAUUGAAAUCUCCUGCAAUAAUUGUUUGUAAGUUUGUUUUGUCUAUUUCAUCUAGUAGUUUUAUGAGAGGUUCUUUAAUAUCUUGAUUUCUAAUAGGUAGAGGUGGUAUGUAUAUAGAUAUUAUUAGAAGUUCUGGUUGGGUGUUCAGGGUUUUUAUUGCUAUUGCUUCUAACGGACUUGUUAAUGGUAGUUUGAAUUCUUGAAAUCUUAUUUCGUUUCUUACUAGAAUACCGACUCCGCCGUAACCUGUUGUUCUAGUUGACUUUAUGAGUUUAUAUUCAGGGAAUUUGAAGUUUUCAUUUGGUUUUAACCAUAUUUCUUGAAGGAUUGCUAUGUCUAUAUUAUUUGUUUGGAGGAAGUUAUUUAAUGUUUUUCGAGUAUCAGGUGGUCUAAUGCUAGUUAUAUUGUGUUGAAUGAAAUUUAGGUUCCUGAGCUUGUCCAUGGAAUUACUGGGUUUGGUUUAUUUUUGCUAAUUUUUUGUAUUUCAACUUCCUGUUCGAUUAUUGUUUUGAUUUGAUCGCUAAUGUUAAUCAGUAGGAUAUCUGUGUCAAUUGAGUCCUUUCUGUUUUUAUGUUGUUCUGAAUGUUUGAUUAUAGUAUUCUGAAUGACUUUCAUUUUGGUAAAAAUGGAUUCAAGGUUUAUUUGUUUUAGGAUUUGUUGUUUUACGUUUUCGAUCAAUUCUUUGUUUUCUUUAGGUGUUGGGCCAUUUUGUGGAAGGGGUGGAUAUUGUUCCAAUGAGUCUAGUCUAUGUUGAACUGAAUUAUUUUUUGGAUAGCGUAUGGCGGCUUCUUGGAAGGUUAGUUUUUCUGUUGCAUUAAAUAUCGUAUCUUGUCUUGCCUGAUUCUUUCUGGACAAUUUUUGUCUGUUACUUUAUGAUCUCCGUUGCAUUGGAUACAUUUUAGGGGAGCAUUACAAGUUAUGCCAUCGUGUUCUAAAGAGCAUGUAAAACAACGUUGUGUGCUACUUUUACACACUUUUAUUUUGUGUCCGUAUCUACCACAUUUACUGCACAGUUUGAUAGGAAAUAUAUAAAAGUCGACCUUAGCGUGUACUCCAUAAAUAGAAAUGCGUUCCGGGAGUUCAGAGCCCUCUACAUAAAUUUUAAUGGUAUAUGUGGGUAUUAAAUUGUUUUUCUCCAUCCUUUGGAUACGCUCAAUUUUAGUUAUUGUUUUAUUAUCUGCUUUAAUGUUUUUUAGUAUUUCUUCAUCUGUCAAUGUGGGUGGAAUGUUUCUUACUACUCCUAUUGUUUGUUUGAACAUGUUAGGGAUAUAUACUUUAUAUUUAAAUUCGUCUGUGAGAAGUUUGGAGUUAAUCAACCCCUCUGCUUCUCUGGGCCGGUUAAAAGAGAUUCUGAAUCGACCUUGGCCCGCUGUUUUGAGUUCUUUGUACUGUUUGACACCAAUAUUAUGGAGAAUUUUAGCUUUUUCCAUGGGGUGUAUUGUUUUUUGUUCUUUGUUUUGUUUUUCUAUGAAGAAGAUUGUAUUAAUUGUAUUUUUUAUCCAAUUUUCUGCGCAUGCAUCUUUUUGGUUUUUUUUAACUUUAGGUUUUUUAUUAUCGAUUUUAUUGUCAUUGUUGGUCACACUUACCGUACUCAUCGGAUUUACAGUAUCUUCGUCCAUUGAGUCGUCAAUGUUAGUUUCUAUCGGUUGUGGUUUUGUUUUUUUCUUUUGUACCUUGUGUAUUGUCUUUUCUCUUCAAUGUCAUGUCUUUGGGUUUUUUACCGUGCUUUUUACCGUCUUCGUUAUCUUCACUGUCCUCCAGUUUUCUCCUUUGGCCACUUCUUUCAUCUUCUAUCGGAAUUUGAAAGGGAUUCGACUCCAUUCUUAGAAAUCGAGCUUCAUCGAAUCCGUGGAAAUUCUUUUCAUCGCUACUCAUGCAACUUUAUCCUUUUUUGCAAAAAUAGUAUUUUCUGUUUCAACUGAUAAUUAUUUCAAUUCUACUAAUGUAAAACCAGUAUAAUUAUUUCAUCAACACUUCACUUCCUUCACACUGACUUGGACUUUCCAAGCAAAACUUUCCAACGAAAGGAGAAAAAAAUUUCGCGGUCGCGUUACAAAAUGCAAGACUUAGCUUGGAUCCGAUGCGUCUGCUUUGUUAGUUGGCGCGAGAAUGAUAUUUGUAGUUG